Molecule: long non-coding RNA, 1276 nt
Filed under: Homo sapiens (human)
Lineage: Eukaryota; Metazoa; Chordata; Mammalia; Primates; Hominidae
Description: HSALNT0268834
Source: RNAcentral
UAUAAUACAUAUAUGAUUUCUAGAUAUUAUGUAUGAUUUCUGUCUAGGUGAUCUUUGUUCUUUAUGACUUCUUUUCACAAGAGGCAACGAUAAACCUGCUUUGUCAAUACGUGCAUAGACCUUCAGUAGUUCUGAGGCUGAUUGUAACUGGUAUUUUAAUAGGCAAAUAAAAACUUCUGCUUUACAUAAAUUGCUCUAUAAACUGGGAGCUGAGGAUUGUGAGGAGGGCGAAAAGGCCAUGGUGCCCUCUCUACCGCUGCACAAACCCAGAUUGUGUGUGGUUGGGAUCCCUUGGUAGCCCAACCAGAUAAGAGUCAUGAAUUGAUUCCACAUUAGCAUGCAGCAGGCAUGGGAAAAUGAUAAACUCCUAUUACCACUGUCAUGGCAACUGAAAAAAUGGCUGCUUUGGGGGGAACAAGGUCCACAGGAGAAGAAAAGCGAAGCCCCGUCUCUUUCUUCUGUUUGACACCUGUGUCAGUCACUCUCAUACUCAGCAGAAAUAUCCAAUAAGCUUUCGGAGGUCCAGGAAUGGGUCUCAAAGGAGCUUUCAAAGGGUCUCAAAGAUCUCAAAGUUUCUCUCAAAGGAGGAUUGAGGUGUAGAUGCUCACACAAAAAUUCUGUUCGGCAAAUUUCCAUAUGAUCCAAACAUAUCACUUGAAGCAAAUCAGUUCCAUGUGGCUGGGCAGGCCUCACAAUCAUGGCAGAAGGCAAAGGAGAAGCAAAGGCACAUCAUACAUGGUGGCAGGAAAGAGAGCUUGUGUAUGGGAACUCCCAUUUAUAAAACCAUGAGAUCUCGUGAGACUUAUUCACUAUCAUGAGAACAGUAUGGGGGAAAUCGCUGAUUCAGUUAUCUCCACCUGGCCCUGCUUUUGACACGUGGGGAUUGUUACAAUUCAAGGUGAGAUCUGGGGACACAGCCAAACCAUAUCACACAAUCAUGGCUCACUGCAGCCUUGAACUCCUGGGCUUAAGUGAUCCUCCCACCUCAGCCUCCCAGGUAGCUAGGACUACAGGCACACACCAUCAUGCCCGGCUAAUGUUUUGUAUUUUUUGUAGAGACAGGAUCUCACUAUGUUGCCCAGGCUGGUCUUGAAUUCCUGGACUCAAGCAAUCCUCCCAUCUAGGCCUCCCAAAGUGUUGAGAUUACAGGCAUGAGCCACUGUGCCUGGUCCACAUCUUCUUUCACAUCUUUUUCAUUCAGUGCUGAACUCCAAACCACAAACUUUGCACCUGCUGUUCUUUCUUUCUGGAACAGUCUUCCCCCAGGUAUCUGUAG